This is a long non-coding RNA of Homo sapiens (human), 801 nucleotides long. NCBI's taxonomy places the organism in Eukaryota, Metazoa, Chordata, Mammalia, Primates, Hominidae. The record is from Ensembl.
GGCACAGCUGCCGCCGUGCCUUUCCGCGCGAGCCCAGAGCUCCGAUCCCUGCGCGGGCUCGAGAGCUCGCCCCGAACGGGGGUCUUCCUCCUCCGCCGUUGACAGGUUUUGACCUGUAGCAGAGAACCAAUUCUGGAGAACAGCCUCACUUCUUUGAUUGAAUACUUACAUAAUGCAUUGGAACAUGACAUGAGAUUAAGUGUAUAAAGCCAAAUGUCCCAUUUAAAGUUUGACAUUUGCAAUAGCAUUCUAUUUAAAAGGUUUAAUAAUGAUAGAAUGAAGACCACAAUAAAAGAGACCUCUACUUAGCUCAGCAAUUCUUACCUUUCUUACCUAUUUGAUGAAGAUGUCUUUUGAAAGGUGUACUGCAAGGAACAAAAUGUUUGUAAAUUCUCCUUUUACCAAGGUAAAGAUCAAAUUUUAUAAAUUUACUUGUUUGUUUAUACAAGGAAAAAUAACUUCAUAUAUUGAAUAUAUUCAAAAGUUUAAGCAUUUAGUUGUAUUGCCCUGUUAAGUUGGCAUAGCAAAUAAAUGCUUUUCUUUUCCUCAUUUUAUUCUUUGUGUUUCCUAACCUAUAGCACUGUGCUGGGCACAGAAUGGACUUCAGUUAAGUUUUUGAUGUAGAAAUGUUUUAUUAUUCUACUUAAAAUCUCCUUAAAAAUAAUUAUGCAUAUUACAUCAAUGUUAUAAUGUUUAAACAUAGAUUUUUUUACAUGCAUUCUUUUUUUCCUGAAAGAAAAUAUUUUUUAUAUUCUUUAGGCGCGAAUGUGUGUUUAAAAAAAAUAAAACCUUGGAGUAAAG